CGGGGCGUGGCGCAGCUUGGCUAGCGCGUACGGUUCGGGUCCGUAAGGUCGCCGGUUCGAAUCCGGCCGCCCCGACCA
RNAcentral lists this transfer RNA (78 nucleotides) under Armatimonadota bacterium. RNAcentral describes it as "Armatimonadetes bacterium (bioreactor metagenome) tRNA-Pro". It matches the Rfam family "tRNA". From Rfam's summary of the family: Transfer RNA (tRNA) molecules are approximately 80 nucleotides in length. Their secondary structure includes four short double-helical elements and three loops (D, anti-codon, and T loops). Lineage: Bacteria; Bacillati; Armatimonadota. RNAcentral also lists the same sequence under 1 other name. The record is from RNAcentral.